AGGAUUCCCCUAGUAACUGCGAGUGAAGCGGGAAAAGCUCAAAUUUAAAAUCUGGUGGUCUUUGGCCAUCCGAGUUGUAAUCUAGAGAAGUGUUAUCCGCGCUGGACCGUGUACAAGUCCCCUGGAAUGGGGCGUCAUAGAGGGUGAGAAUCCCGUCUUUGACACGGACUACCAGGGCUUUGUGAUGCACUCUCAAAGAGUCGAGUUGUUUGGGAAUGCAGCUCAAAAUGGGUGGUAAAUUCCAUCUAAAGCUAAAUAUUGGCGAGAGACCGAUAGCGAACAAGUACCGUGAGGGAAAGAUGAAAAGAACUUUGGAAAGAGAGUUAAACAGUACGUGAAAUUGUUGAAAGGGAAACGCUUGAAGUCAGUCGCGUCAGCCAGGGAUCAACCUUACCUUUGUGAGGCGUACUUCCUGGUUGAUGGGUCAGCAUCAGUUUUGUCUGCUGGAUAAAGGUCAGAGAAAUGUGGCACCUUCGGGUGUGUUAUAGUCUCUGAUCAGAUACAGUGGCUGGGACUGAGGAACUCAGCACGCCGCAAGGCCGGGGUUCGCCCACGUUCGUGCUUAGGAUGCUGGCAAAAUGGCUUUAAUCGACCCGUC
This 598-nucleotide ribosomal RNA is filed under the name Pleurotus cystidiosus. RNAcentral describes it as "eukaryotic LSU rRNA". It matches the Rfam family "Eukaryotic large subunit ribosomal RNA", at positions 71 to 653 of the family's 3401-position model. Lineage: Eukaryota; Fungi; Basidiomycota; Agaricomycetes; Agaricales; Pleurotaceae. The record is from RNAcentral.